RNAcentral lists this transfer RNA (82 nucleotides) under Saccharophagus degradans 2-40. It matches the Rfam family "tRNA". Rfam says of the family: Transfer RNA (tRNA) molecules are approximately 80 nucleotides in length. The record is from Rfam by way of RNAcentral. Lineage: Bacteria; Pseudomonadati; Pseudomonadota; Gammaproteobacteria; Cellvibrionales; Cellvibrionaceae.
GCGGUCGUGGCGAAAUUGGUAGACGCGCUGGAUUUAGGUUCCAGUGCCGCAAGGCGUGAGAGUUCAAGUCUCUCCGACCGCA